GAUGAACGCUAGCUACAGGCUUAACACAUGCAAGUCGCGGGGCAGCAUGUCGGUUGCUUGCAACCGAUGAUGGCGACCGGCGCACGGGUGAGUAACACGUAUCCAACCUGCCCUUCACCACGGAAUAAUCCAGUGAAAAUUGGUCUAAUACCGUAUGAGGUCAUACGAUGGCAUCAGAAUAUGACGAAAGGUUUGGCGGUGAAGGAUGGGGAUGCGUCUGAUUAGCUUGUUGGUGAGGUAACGGCUCACCAAGGCGACGAUCAGUAGGGGUUCUGAGAGGAAGGUCCCCCACAUUGGAACUGAGACACGGUCCAAACUCCUACGGGAGGCAGCAGUGAGGAAUAUUGGUCAAUGGGCGAGAGCCUGAACCAGCCAAGUAGCGUGCAGGAAGACGGCCCUAUGGGUUGUAAACUGCUUUUAUAUGGGGAUAAAGUGAGUUACGUGUAGCUUAUUGCAGGUACCAUAUGAAUAAGGACCGGCUAAUUCCGUGCCAGCAGCCGCGGUAAUACGGAAGGUCCAGGCGUUAUCCGGAUUUAUUGGGUUUAAAGGGAGCGUAGGCCGCCCCUUAAGCGUGUUGUGAAAUGCCGCGGCUCAACCGUGGCACUGCAGCGCGAACUGGGGGGCUUGAGUGCACGCAACGCAGGCGGAAUUCGUGGUGUAGCGGUGAAAUGCUUAGAUAUCACGAAGAACUCCGAUUGCGAAGGCAGCUUGCGGGAGUGCGACUGACGCUGAAGCUCGAAGGUGCGGGUAUCGAACAGGAUUAGAUACCCUGGUAGUCCGCACAGUAAACGAUGGAUGCCCGCUGUGUGUCUUAAUGGUACGCGGCCAAGCGAAAGCGUUAAGCAUCUCACCUGGGG
RNAcentral lists this ribosomal RNA (857 nucleotides) under uncultured bacterium. Its description in RNAcentral is "bacterial SSU rRNA". It matches the Rfam family "Bacterial small subunit ribosomal RNA", at positions 28 to 878 of the family's 1533-position model. The record is from RNAcentral.